GCUCAGAAACUUAAAGGAAUUGACGGGGGCCCGCACAAGCGGUGGAGCAUGUUGGUUUAAUUCGAUGAUACGCGAGGAACCUUACCUGGGCUCAAAUGUAUGUUGACGUAUUCUGAAAGGGAUACUUCUUCGGACAAUAUACAAGGUGCUGCAUGGUUGUCGUCAGCUCGUGCCGUGAGGUGUCGGGUUAAGUCCCAUAACGAGCGCAACCCCUAUCAUUAGUUGCCAGCAGUUCGGCUGGGCACUCUAAAGGGACUGCCGGUGUUAAACCGGAGGAAGGUGGGGAUGACGUCAAGUCCUCAUGGCCUUUAUGACCAGGGCUACACACGUACUACAAUGGCCGAUACAAAGGGCAGCGACACUGCGAGGUGAAGCCAAUCCCGUAAAAUCGGUCUCAGUCCGGAUUGGAGUCUGCAACUCGACUCCAUGAAGUUGGAAUCGCUAGUAAUCGUGGAUCAGCAUGCCACGGUGAAUACGUUCCCGGGCCUU
RNAcentral lists this ribosomal RNA (489 nucleotides) under uncultured Desulfobulbus sp. Its description in RNAcentral is "partial 16S ribosomal RNA". It matches the Rfam family "Bacterial small subunit ribosomal RNA", at positions 891 to 1382 of the family's 1533-position model. Lineage: Bacteria; Pseudomonadati; Thermodesulfobacteriota; Desulfobulbia; Desulfobulbales; Desulfobulbaceae. The record is from RNAcentral.